Molecule: long non-coding RNA, 3457 nt
Organism: Lolium perenne
Lineage: Eukaryota; Viridiplantae; Streptophyta; Magnoliopsida; Poales; Poaceae
Source: RefSeq, a predicted model, not a curated record
UCCUCUCCCCUCGCGCACCUUGCGGGAUAGCUCCCUCCGCCACCCCGCGCCGCCUCUCCCCUUCUCCACCAAUCGCGCCGCCCUUCCGAUGGUCCGCGCGCGCCGCCCCUUCUCCUCCAUCGCGCCGCCCCUUCCCUCGCCUGCGCAUGGAGGUCUUCGACGGCGAAAGUGCAGCGCCGGCGGUGGGGCGGUGGGAGGCACUAUUGGAGCUCUUCCUGGAGACGGGGCUUGGGGAAGGGCUGGCCUAGAGGAGGAGCAAGGUGGAGGAGGACCUUCGUGAAGUGGCCAUGCCUACUCCUCCCAGCUCGGCCAAAUUGGACUGCUGAGAUCUGUGGGCAGAGCUAUGAAUUAGACCACCUUGUUGAAAUUUCUCAGAUCAUGAGUUUUCUCACAUAUGUGCUACUCCAGUCCGUGUUCAGUUUGCUGCUCAACGGGAGAAGCACGGUCACCCCUCCAGAGAGAAACGAGUACAUUGCGUCUAAGUCAGUUACUACUAUUUUCCGUUUCUCCAUCGAGUCAAACAGAUAAAGGGAUUGUAGCUUAUAAUGCAAACCGGUUGCACUUGGGAAUGGCAAAUUAGGCUAUCCGUGUACACACUAACCCCAUUCUCCCCAAGGGAGUUCCCAAACCAAGUACGUCUUUUCUCUGUCUGGAUGCCUUGCUAGAAAUUCUUAGAUGCUCAUGCUUUUGCUAGAUUUAUGUGUCUUCUCGUUUCAGCCUGGUGAGAUAGGUAAUAAUGAAGCGUUGGUGUCUAUUUUAUCAGGAAAUGGACUCCGUGUGUUUAUAUUGAAGUCAAACCACUUAACUUUUGGUCUCUUUGAAAUUUCUUAGAGGCUGGAUAGCAUGUUCAAUCUGUCAGCUGGUUGUAUCACUAGCCUUUUCUUACAUUUUCUUUUUCUUGGGCUGCAGGAAAUAUAAAUGGCCUCUAUUCAGUUAUUUACACGACCAAUAUGUGAUGAACUCUACAAAUAGAAUGUGUAUAAGACACCUUAAGAGGGCAAACCAGAUGCUGAUUGCGAGUAGUGGCAUGCCUAAGGCUCCCCAUAUGAGUUAUCACCGAUAAUAACUUCGUCUUCUCUGUGAGUGAUAUGGUUACGUAGAAGAAUGUUGAGCUCACCAGGAUGCAAGAUGGGAUGCAAUAUAUAGAGGUGGCCGACAUCUACAGGUUGUUGCCGCUGACAUCAUACUUGCUCAGGAUCCUCAUUAUUAGGCUCGAGAUGCGAAAUCAUAGGCAUGACGCAUGGGUGAAUUUUGUUACUAUGAGAGCUUCUCUAUUUUCAGCGCUCGCGGCAUAAAGGCCUUGGUGCAUUGAUGAAUUUUAUUAGCAAGAGCCUUCUAUAUUUUUCCAUUCAACUUUGCAUCUUCCUUGACUUUCCUCAUUUGAUAAUCAUAAAAAUGACACGCACGCGUAGAACUUGGAUGAAUCUCCAAGGGUCAAGCAGAGGGACCACUCAUGCUUAAGCCUGCCAGCUUAAAUCCAGAUAAUUUCCUAAAAAAGGGUGGAUUUAAAUCCAGAUAAUUUCCUAAAAUGGGUGUCGAAUGCUUCAGGUUUUAUAUAUUGUGACAUUGAACUAUGGAAAUGGAAAUUUGGUUUUGUGAGGAUCUGGUUGGAGCCUUUGCCGUCAAGUUUAUAAGCGGGUAAGAAACUAAUGGAGGACAACGGACAAAUUAUAACUGUAGUUACACGUAAAGAUGAGCAAGAUUGCGUCGAAAUGUUAUAUAUAUUUCGUGAGUUCAUUGAAAUAAGCAGAGUAUGAUAUUACAAAUGAAUCUAUUUAAAUAAAAUGUUUUAGAUUAGGUAGUUAUUUAUCUUGGUCUGCUCAUUUCCAACUUGAUUUACUUUAGGUACCAUAGCUUCAGUUAACUUAUUUGUUCAAAGGAGUGAGAGGGCACAUACUGCAGAAUCUAUAGAUAUUUUCUACUGUUCAUUUCUUAUUUCGCGUGUUAGAAUGUCUAUUCUCAGUUUUGGGACUUGAUCAAUACAUGUGUUUUUGUAGCUCAUUAUAUUAUUGGUCUAUAAAUGUGAUAUAAUUACAUUUAGUGAAAAAUAUUAGCUUAUGUUGAGGUAUUUCAGUUUUGAUCAUUAUACAGUUCACUGCCUUCUGAGCCCAUUGUAGGAUAAAUAGGAAGGUCCUUUGUUUUCUUACGAAGUUUCUUAAUAACUAAUUGUGCUCGGAGGCAUCUUCUUGUUGAGUUAAGUUUUUUUUUUUAAAAGAAGACCAUCUAUUUGAAUUAAAGCUGGGCAUGCUCUUGCUGAGUUACUUCUUGGGCCAGUUUGAUUUUUUCAUUACGUUUUGUCAGAUUCCUUUUAUUGCAUCUUCCAUUUGUAUUUGUCCAAACUAUCAGAGAACUUGGAGUUGAGACUAAGAAUCUAUUUUUAUCCUCUUUUGUCAUAUAUAUCUUGCAGAAUGUUCAGCAGGUGAUGUGCUAAUUUUUCCUCUGGUAAACAGAACUUCCUCUACGUACGAAGUAUAUAAUGAGUUUGAUUGUGUGUUGAUAUUGAGUGCUCGCAAGAAAUUGAAAUAGGCUACAGAUUAGUUUACUUUGGUAAUCUAUGUUCCGUAGCAUUUUCCCAAUAUAUGUUUCAGUUAUCCUGCAAAAAGACUUCAGUUGAGUUGAAUCCUGUUACAGGACUGAACAAUUAGGGUUUUGUACAUACAUAUUUCGUUGUGAUCUGUGGCACAAUUUUUUUCAUGUGCCUUACUAGCUAUAGUCUGUAGAAUGACACUUAUCAUUGGUAUUGGUAUUGGUUCUAUGCUACAGCUUAUUUUACGACUUUUGCAUAGUUGUCAACAUGUUUAUACUAAAUCUUUUAGCUAGCUCCUAAUGUUUCACUAUUCUAUUCUUUUGUAGUACACUUGUGCAGUACAUGGCUUUUGGAAUAGGGUGUUCACUAGGGAGUUGGGGCAAGUCUGCAAAUAUGUCCUGAUAAGUUGGUUGUGGAUGAACUUCUUGGGCCAGUGUCUCCAAUUCUUUCAACUCCUUAGGCAGACGGUAGAUGUUCUUAUUAUUUCAGAAUCGUGCAAAUGGGAUUCAGACAUAUUCUUCUAUCGUGGUAUGGCUCAUGCAGAUACCUCUUUGUCAAGCUGACUGGUGAUUUUACUACAUGGAAACGUACUAAAUGUGGCGUUUAUUCAGUCAAGUCAGCCUAAAGCUGACACAAGGUAAUUGCCUAAAUUUUGGUAUCUGAACUUCCUAUAAACAGUAUGAAAAUAGAGAUGACCAUGCUUUGUAAUCUCAAGUAUCAUAUUUACUAUGACAUAGUUGGCAGACUUUAUAUUCAGAUCAUUUGCUAUGCUAUCUACUGUACUUUGAGAGAGAAUGGUUUCACAAGAUUUUAGGCUGUAGUAUAUUUAACCUGUAAGACAAGCUCCCUAACCUUUUUGAUGAACAAGGAGGCAUCAUGCACUAACUGACACAUUUUUGUAGGUCUACACAUUUUCCAGAAACAGCUGUU